UUUUGCGGAUUUCUUCGGAUUGAAGCAACUGUGACUGAGCGGCGGACGGGUGAGUAACGCGUGGGUAACCUGCCUCAUACAGGGGGAUAACAGUUGGAAACGGCUGCUAAUACCGCAUAAGCGCACAGUACCGCAUGGUACCGUGUGAAAAACUCCGGUGGUAUGAGAUGGACCCGCGUCUGAUUAGCUAGUUGGUGGGGUAACGGCCUACCAAGGCGACGAUCAGUAGCCGACCUGAGAGGGUGACCGGCCACAUUGGGACUGAGACACGGCCCAAACUCCUACGGGAGGCAGCAGUGGGGAAUAUUGCACAAUGGGGGAAACCCUGAUGCAGCGACGCCGCGUGAGCGAUGAAGUAUUUCGGUAUGUAAAGCUCUAUCAGCAGGGAAGAAAAUGACGGUACCUGACUAAGAAGCCCCGGCUAACUACGUGCCAGCAGCCGCGGUAAUACGUAGGGGGCAAGCGUUAUCCGGAUUUACUGGGUGUAAAGGGAGCGUAGACGGCAUGGCAAGCCAGAUGUGAAAGCCCGGGGCUCAACCCCGGGACUGCAUUUGGAACUGUCAGGCUAGAGUGUCGGAGAGGAAAGCGGAAUUCCUAGUGUAGCGGUGAAAUGCGUAGAUAUUAGGAGGAACACCAGUGGCGAAGGCGGCUUUCUGGA
RNAcentral lists this ribosomal RNA (658 nucleotides) under uncultured bacterium. RNAcentral describes it as "bacterial SSU rRNA". It matches the Rfam family "Bacterial small subunit ribosomal RNA", at positions 62 to 733 of the family's 1533-position model. The record is from RNAcentral.